Molecule: ribosomal RNA, 405 nt
Filed under: uncultured bacterium
Lineage: Bacteria
Description: partial 16S ribosomal RNA
Rfam family: Bacterial small subunit ribosomal RNA
Source: RNAcentral
AUUGAACGCUAGCGGGAUGCUUUACACAUGCAAGUCGAACGAGUGGCGGACGGGUGAGUAAUAUAUCGGAACGUGCCCAGAAGCGGGGGAUAACUACUCGAAAGAGUGGCUACUACCGCAUACUAUUGGAGCGGCCGAUAAUGGAUUAGCUAGUUGGUGGGGGAAAGGCACAACAAAGCAAGGAACCGUAGCUGGUUUGAGAGGACGACAAGCCACACUGGGAAGUAGACCCGGCCCAGACUCCUACGGUAGGCAGCAGUGGGGAAUUGUGGACAAUGGGUGAAACCCUGAUCCAGCCAUCCCGCGUGUAUGAGAAGGCCUUCGGGUUGUAAAGGCCUUUUGGCAUAGAAGCGGUAUCUUCAGAAUAAGCACCGGCUAACUACGUGCCAGCAGCCGCGGUAAUUC